Lolium rigidum is the source of this 1991-nucleotide long non-coding RNA. RefSeq lists it as uncharacterized. The transcript has 6 exons. The record is from RefSeq and is a predicted model, not a curated record. NCBI's taxonomy places the organism in Eukaryota, Viridiplantae, Streptophyta, Magnoliopsida, Poales, Poaceae.
UGAUGCGAGAGGGUCAGGAGAAGCGACGGAAGGAAGUAAGGAACGGACGUCCAAGUGCGUUGAUACCCUGAGCAUCGCGGAUGACAUUGACGAAGCGGUCAUAGUCGUAGGCGAGGAGGAUGACCUGAGGAGUCGUUUCUUCUGGUUGCGGCCAGGGAAGCGCAGCGCGACGGAGGCGCUCCAGAAGUGGACUCGCGAGGACUGCCCUCACGCCAGAGCUCUCCUGUAUCGUCCGAGAUCUGAGCCUUGACAGUUGAUUCAAGCACUCCCUUUAGGAAUCUGUGCGGUCUUCAGGAAGAUGUCGCCAGGAGACUCGUGGAGGAUGUUUCAACUUGCAAAGAGAAAAUGGCUGAACGUUUCUAGUAAAUAUUAGCUCAAAAGAUCCAAAGCGGGAGCUGGUGAUGAGAUUUAGAGGGAUGAAGACUCAAGAACAGAUGUGGGAUUCAUGGGCGCUUGGAGGACUACAGGCAGGCCUUACCUGACCACCUCCUCCAGCUGGUUGUAUAGCUAUUUCAGUUGCAUGUCUAAACUCCGAAUUUACUCAACUGUGAAUAACAUAUCAAUUCAACAUUUAUUUUUAGGCUAAUCAAGCUAACAAUUGUGUGCACAUCGAUGGCAGUCUGAAGCAGAUCAGAUUGCAGCCAUUGUUUGUUAAGCUCCUGAGUGGACGCAUUGAAGGGGUGCUGCGAAGCCUGCCAUUGAAGGAUCAAGAGUCAAGAAUCAAGAUGCAAUUACCAUCUAUAUUUUGCGUUGUGCACCAAAGCCGCGUCAGUUUUUGCACGGUGUGACGAGCCACAGUACAGAGGUAGAGAGAGCUUGGUAGAGAGAGAAAGAUUGAGUGAAUUGUUCAUGAUCUUUUUUUGGCCUUCUUCUUGCAUCGCUCACGCUACUUCGUCGUGCCAAAUGAACGCCUGACGUUUUAGGCAUACCAGAUAGAAAAGGAGCAGUAUGCAAGGUCAAGAUGAGGCCAAUUCUAGGGCGCAGCUGAUGAAGUAGUGAGCAAGGAUUUGUUUUCUGUCAGCUCAUAAUAGGCGAGUUCCUCUUGCUCUUUGGAUUCAUUUGCUUAUGGUGUGCACACCUAGGUUAAGAUAUGUUGUGUAUAUCACCUUUUGAUGCAAUGUUAUUUAUUAGGCUCACCUACAAGUCUGAAUCUAUUAACUUUUAUCAACUUAAUAACUUGGAUAAGAAGGUUUAGCUACUAUAGUAUUCGGUAGACCAAACAUUAUUUGUGUUAUUGUAUAAGCUCAAAUUACUGCCUGGUACCAGUAUUAGUUUGUCAGACCAGGUGCUGCUGCAAGUAUAUUCAGAUCAACAACCUGAUCUAAAAUUACAGAAAUAGACUACUUUGUGUUAGCAAUAGGGAGAUGUAUUUAUUGUUUUCAAUGAAUGGGGACCUUUCUUCUUAUGUAUGAUCGUUGAUGUUUUGAAUUUUUGGCAUCUGGGGUGUUUUGAUUUGCACAUGCUAAAAGACGAGAAAUUUGGCCUUCGUGUUUGCAGUUCACCAGCUCAAUUAUUUUCUGUUUAUUUGGAGUAACGAAUACAUCAUCACUUUGUAGCUGUUGACAAGGUAUGUUCCCUUCCUACAGGUUUUCAGGAAUGCCGGUUCUACAUAUACAUAUUAUUUGUCUCAUAUUGUAAAAAAAAAAUCUGUACAAAUGGGCUCUCUCGCGUAGUGCAAUUUUUCGUAUUUAAGAGAAUGUGCUCAGCAUCAGAGAACAUGGAAUAGAGAGAAUUCAGAAGCAGUUGCUGCACUAGCCAAGAAAAGGCACAACAUUGCUGGAUCAGUGAGCGUUGACGAGAAGAAGCAAUAAUAUUCAGAGCACGUGCCUUGGUAUAGUGAUCUUACAUGUUUAGGUUUAGUUUGAUGCAUGUGUGCCUCAGUAUAUACUUUGUUAUGUAGUCAGUGUUCUGUAUCCGUAGGUGUCUGAUCCUCAAUGAUCUUUGUAAUGCAUCUGAAUCAAUAUCAGCGCUGGUCUUUUUCUAGCCGUGCA